RNAcentral lists this ribosomal RNA (301 nucleotides) under uncultured bacterium. RNAcentral describes it as "partial 16S ribosomal RNA". It matches the Rfam family "Bacterial small subunit ribosomal RNA", at positions 509 to 807 of the family's 1533-position model. The record is from RNAcentral.
CAGCCGCCACGGUAAUACGUAGGGUGCGAGCGUUAAUCGGAAUUACUGGGCGUAAAGCGCGCGCAGGCGGUUGUGUAAGACAGGUGUGAAAUCCCCGGGCUUAACCUGGGAACUGCGCUUGUGACUGCACAGCUAGAGUAUGGCAGAGGGGGGUGGAAUUCCACGUGUAGCAGUGAAAUGCGUAGAGAUGUGGAGGAACACCGAUGGCGAAGGCAGCCCCCUGGGCCAAUACUGACGCUCAUGCACGAAAGCGUGGGGAACAAACAGGAUUAGAUACCCCCGUAGUCCCUGUCUCUUAUAC